UUUUAAAUAGCUUAAAAUUAGAGUAUGACUUUGAAGGUGUUAUGGUGUUUAUAUAUUUAAACUUUAAAAG
This 70-nucleotide transfer RNA is filed under the name Echinoderes svetlanae. Its description in RNAcentral is "tRNA-Phe". The record is from RNAcentral. Lineage: Eukaryota; Metazoa; Kinorhyncha; Cyclorhagida; Echinoderidae.